GAUGAAGAACGUAGCGAAAUGCGAUAAGUAGUGUGAAUUGCAGAAUUCAGUGAAUCAUCGAAUCUUUGAACGCACAUUGCGCCCCUUGGUAUUCCAUGGGGCAUGCCUGUUCGAGCGUCAUUUGUACCCUCAAGCUUUGCUUGGUGUUGGGUGUUUGUCCCGCGUUGCGCGUGGACUCGCCUUAAAGCGAUUGGCAGCCGGCAUAUUGGCCUUGGAGCGCAGCACAUUUUGCGCUUCUAGUCAUGAAUGUUGGCGUCCAUUAAGCCUAUACAUUUGCUCUUGACCUCGGACCAGGUAGGGAUACCCGCUGAACUUAAGCAUAUCAAUAAGCGGAGGA
Molecule: unclassified non-coding RNA, 337 nt
Filed under: soil metagenome
Description: partial contains 5.8S ribosomal RNA, internal transcribed spacer 2, and large subunit ribosomal RNA
Rfam family: 5.8S ribosomal RNA (bases 1-120)
Source: RNAcentral